Molecule: ribosomal RNA, 399 nt
Filed under: Triticum aestivum (bread wheat)
Lineage: Eukaryota; Viridiplantae; Streptophyta; Magnoliopsida; Poales; Poaceae
Description: partial small subunit ribosomal RNA
Source: RNAcentral
AUGGCCGGAAGGCUUAAAGGAUGGAAAGGCAAACUGAUGGCCAAACCUGGAAGGCUCACUCUAAUAAAUUCUGUGCUUACAUCCAUGGCCACCUAUUUCUUAACUAGUUUUGCAGUUGACAAAUGGGCAAUAAAGAAAAUGGAAAAGAUUCAGCGAAACUUCCUUUGGAAUGGUGACGAGGAGUGCAACGGGGCCAAGUGCCUUGUCAACUGGAAGAGGGUCUGCUCCCCAAAGGAUCUUGGUGGCCUUGGAAUCAAAGACAUUGCCUGCUUCAGUAGGGCAUUGAGGCUGCGUUGGGCUUGGCUAGAGUGGAGCCCCACUUCAAGGCCUUGGCAGGGCACCCCCAUCCCAUGCGAUCACACAGACAUGCUGCUUUUCUCAGCUUGCACGGAGAUUUUG